AAGACCUUGCGCUUUUGGAGCGGCCGAUGCCUGAUUAGCUUGUUGGUAAAGUAAAAGCUUACCAAGGCUUCGAUCAGUAGCUGGUCUGAGAGGACGACCAGCCACACUGGGACUGAGACACGGCCCAGACUCCUACGGGAGGCAGCAGUGGGGAAUUUUGGACAAUGGGGGCAACCCUGAUCCAGCCAUGCCGCGUGAGUGAAGAAGGCCUUCGGGUUGUAAAGCUCUUUCAGCCGGAACGAAACGGUUACGGAUAACACCCGUGACUACUGACGGUACCGGAAGAAGAAGCACCGGCUAACUACGUGCCAGCAGCCGCGGUAAUACGUAGGGUGCGAGCGUUAAUCGGAAUUACUGGGCGUAAAGCGUGCGCAGGUGGUUUUGUAAGUCAGAUGUGAAAGCCCCGGGCUCAACCUGGGAACU
RNAcentral lists this ribosomal RNA (423 nucleotides) under uncultured bacterium. RNAcentral's name for it is "bacterial SSU rRNA". It matches the Rfam family "Bacterial small subunit ribosomal RNA", at positions 207 to 622 of the family's 1533-position model. The record is from RNAcentral.